AUCUUUAGGUGCAGUUUUCUAUCGGUGCUUCGCAGCGUACAGGAAAAAAGAGGACACUAAAGACCUUGGGCACGUAGUAGUCGUGGUAUACUUUCACCCGUUGCUCGUGACAACGCUUGCUUCAAACUAAUCACACGGUUUGCAAAAUCACUUUCUCGUCGUACCGGUGGUUGCUCUCUCGCUACUGCAUACCGGCGUUCGCACGUGCAUUCUUUUAUAUGGCGCGCCUGCUCCGACCGAUCUCAAUUGUAGCAAUUGAGCACCGUUUGAAAGCAUGGUCGCGUGCACUUCCGCAAAACCCCGACCGCGCUGGGCGCGAGAGUGUCGUGUGCAAAUCAUAUGAUGUGUUUGUGCGCGGUAUCGACGAGAUCGGUUUCCACUUUACCGGUGCUGCUGAUGCAAUUCGUCGCAAUAGUAAUGCGGGAAAAAGAAACCAAAACAAAACACGUGACGUAGGCAUCUCGUGUUUUUCCGUUGUUUUGGUCGUCGAAUCGAAAAGCCCUGAUCAUGCAGUUCUAUGCUACACAGUCGGCUACAAUUGUUUUUGCCGCGUAAGUAGGCGUAGAAAUACAAUCCCCACCACUACCAGGCGACAAACGUAUGUGUGUGUGUGUGUGUGGGGAGGCAUGUUUCAAUUCCGUCCCCGGACCUCCCCCUGAUAUAUCUAAUCAAGCAGACAAACAAAUAAUAAUCAUCGGUCAACGACGCCAACAGCAGACACCACAGUAUACACUUUGCACUUCGCCGAUGCUUUGCACACAACACCAACAUUAGUAUGACGCGUACCGCUAGUGGGGCACGCAACGAGAGGCCCCUUUGUUCGGCAUGUAGCCCACACUCUGAGGCUCGCAUGUGUGUUGCACACGGAAACUAGCAGCAGCAGCAGCAGCAGUAGUAGCUGCGAGUUGCACAACCACCACCAAUAUAAGAGGCCCGGUGCAACGGUUCGAGUCAAGUCACUAAUCAGUUCCUAGCCGAGCAACGACAUCGUGCAAUAUUCGAAGCAAUACUUUACGGGGUGUGUU
Long non-coding RNA from Anopheles coluzzii, 1025 nucleotides. RefSeq lists it as uncharacterized. NCBI's taxonomy places the organism in Eukaryota, Metazoa, Arthropoda, Insecta, Diptera, Culicidae. The transcript is spliced from 2 exons. The record is from RefSeq and is a predicted model, not a curated record.